RNAcentral lists this long non-coding RNA (1046 nucleotides) under Vulpes vulpes (red fox). Its description in RNAcentral is "lncRNA (ENSVVUG00000004601.1)". Lineage: Eukaryota; Metazoa; Chordata; Mammalia; Carnivora; Canidae. The record is from RNAcentral.
AAAAAAUAAAGGCUUGCUUGAGUGGACAGAACUGUGCGCAGAGCAUAGGAAAACAUACACUUCUGGAGAAAUCAAUGAAACAGAUAUAUAUCAUCGAAAGACCUUGAUACAUGGCUUUGCAAGGCACAUCUGUGAAUUUUUGCAGACAUUUCAGCCAUAUUGGUGAGUCCCAUUUUAUGUCCAGAUCAACUAUGCAUACACAUAAUGAAAAUUUACUGGUUUAUAUUUUUCUCUCAGUCUAGAAUUCCCAGGGGACUGAAAAAAAUGAAAUAAAUCUUAUCAGCAUUUUUUACAACUCUUAAAGCAAAAACCAGAACACUUUUGAAGAGCGUACAAAGUGUUAUAGUGGCCAAGGGACCAGAAGAGAUAGAGGCACCACAAGAACUUCAUAUAUCCCAGAGUCUGAGCCACUUAAAUAACAACAUGCCCUAUAUUAGGACAAACUGGAUGGGGAAAGGCCUGGAAAGUUAAAGUGUCCCCACCCUUCCCCAAGAUCUCCUUCAAACAAAAGGCCAAAUCAUACAGGACUCCUGAGGCUGACAUCAGUGUGUGUUCCUGUGAGGGAGACCAGCAAAAGGAUGUAUCCAAGACUACUUGGAUUCAGAGCUACUCCAAGACUUCAGUAGUUCCAGACAUGUAUGCCAAGUGUGGUUCAUGGACGAGAAGAAUGAUAAAUAUGAGGCCUUCGCACAAUCAGUAGUCAUAAUACACUUUAUUUCUUUGGCAAGUAAUAAGAGUUUAACCACUAGAAACUUUAAUUUUUAAGGUUUGAUUUAACACAUGACUGUCUUGCUUCUGUUAAUUGUUUAAGUCUUCUAGCAGUCCAUGCUCCUGUGCAUGUGAGAUGGUAUAUUUGAAAGCAGUCAGAAAGAUUUCAAAAUACUAGAGAAAGAUGCCAUCCAGAGAACAAUAGAACUGAUGGAUAGCUAAAUACCACAGCUACCUUGUGACUUGGUUUGGGUAUCUGACCGAGCAUCUGACAGUGCCUGAGACAUACUGGACAUCCAGGAACUUUUUGUUGAAUAAGUCAAUAAAACUAAUGAGUG